RNAcentral lists this ribosomal RNA (253 nucleotides) under uncultured bacterium. RNAcentral describes it as "partial 16S ribosomal RNA". It matches the Rfam family "Bacterial small subunit ribosomal RNA", at positions 524 to 776 of the family's 1533-position model. The record is from RNAcentral.
GACGAAGGACCCAAGCGUUAUCCGGAUUCAUUGGGUUUAAAGGGUGCGUAGGUGGAAAGAUAAGUCAGUGGUGAAAUCUCCGGGCUCAACUCGGAAACUGCCAUUGAUACUGUUUUUCUUGAGUGCAUAUGAUGUGGGCGGAAUAUGACAUGUAGUGGUGAAAUACUUAGAUAUGUCAUAGAACACCGAUUGCGAAGGCAGCUCACAAAACUGCAACUGACACUGAGGCACGAAAGCGUGGGGAUCAAACAGG